This 468-nucleotide ribosomal RNA is filed under the name uncultured bacterium. RNAcentral describes it as "partial 16S ribosomal RNA". It matches the Rfam family "Bacterial small subunit ribosomal RNA", at positions 28 to 507 of the family's 1533-position model. The record is from RNAcentral.
GACGAACGCUGGCGGCGUGCUUAACACAUGCAAGUCGAACGGAAAGGCUCUGCUUUUGUGGGGUGCUCGAGUGGCGAACGGGUGAGUAACACGUGAGUAACCUGCCCUUGACUUUGGGAUAACUUCAGGAAACUGGGGCUAAUACCGGAUAGGAGCUCCUGCUGCAUGGUGGGGGUUGGAAAGUUUCGGCGGUUGGGGAUGGACUCGCGGCUUAUCAGCUUGUUGGUGGGGUAGUGGCUUACCAAGGCUUUGACGGGUAGCCGGCCUGAGAGGGUGACCGGCCACAUUGGGACUGAGAUACGGCCCAGACUCCUACGGGAGGCAGCAGUGGGGAAUAUUGCACAAUGGGCGGAAGCCUGAUGCAGCAACGCCGCGUGCGGGAUGACGGCCUUCGGGUUGUAAACCGCUUUCGCCUGUGGCGAAGCGUGAGUGACGGUAAUGGGUAAAGAAGCACCGGCUAACUACGUG